Molecule: ribosomal RNA, 507 nt
Filed under: uncultured bacterium
Lineage: Bacteria
Description: bacterial SSU rRNA
Rfam family: Bacterial small subunit ribosomal RNA
Source: RNAcentral
AUUGAACGCUGGCGGAAUGCUUUACACAUGCAAGUCGAACGGCAGCACGGGGGGCAACCCUGGUGGCGAGUGGCGAACGGGUGAGUAAUACAUCGGAACGUGCCCAGUCGUGGGGGAUAACGUAGCGAAAGCUACGCUAAUACCGCAUACGAUCUACGGAUGAAAGCGGGGGAUCGCAAGACCUCGCGCGAUUGGAGCGGCCGAUGGCAGAUUAGGUAGUUGGUGGGGUAAAGGCUCACCAAGCCUUCGAUCUGUAGCUGGUCUGAGAGGACGACCAGCCACACUGGGACUGAGACACGGCCCAGACUCCUACGGGAGGCAGCAGUGGGGAAUUUUGGACAAUGGGCGAAAGCCUGAUCCAGCCAUUCCGCGUGCAGGAUGAAGGCCCUCGGGUUGUAAACUGCUUUUUGUACGGAACGAAACGGCCUUUUCUAAUACAGAGGGCUAAUGACGGUACCGUAAGAAUAAGCACCGGCUAACUACGUGCCAGCAGCCGCGGUAAUGUCG